UCUUCGUUAUUUUCAGUGCUCCUUUUUUUUUUUCACAGGGGGGAAAGCCUGUAAAAGCCUUAGCACUCUCUCUACUCCCAUAAAAAGCCAUAGAAGAAGACAACAUCAUCUCCCAAAACCCACCAGCUUUUCAUUAUUUUAUUCCCCAUAUGACCUGUCCAUCAUGUGCUUUCCUUACUAUUGCUUCUCCUCAUCUUCUCCAGUCUCCUCUCAUACCAGGUCUCUUGGUUAUAAACUCUUCUUCCACUUCAAUUAACAUUAUUGUUUCUUGUAUGUGAGAUACGGGAGAGGUUGAGAACCUGAUCAGAGCUUUGCUGCCUAGUGGGUUUUAUUAGAGAGAGAGAAAGUAAGUGUUUGGAAUGAGGUUUGAUCCAAGAUCCUUCCGUAUGUUCAUCUAUGCUUUGAUUCCAUAUUGUGGUUUCUUCUUGUGGAAUGAUCUCGGACCAGGCUUCAUUCCUCACACGAGGCUUUCCAUCAAAAGAAAAGAGCUAGGUCUUAUGGUUUAUAUGCCAAUGAAGCACAGCCAUGAAGCUCUAGAACAUGCUUUGUUCUUGGAUCAAAAGGAACUGAGCUUCAACUUUAUGUGUGAAAAUCCUUGCAAGCAUCACAAGCUAUAGGUCUUGCCCAGCCAUGAGCACCUUAAGUUUACUGAUCUCUCUCUCUCUCUCUCUCUCUCUCUCUCUCUCUCUCUCUCUCUCUCUCUCUCUCUCUGUGUUUUGGGAUAGGGGGUUUGGUUGUUAGAUGGGUGUAUGCAUGUGUUUGUGGGCGAUGGUGGGCGGGAAUGUGCAUGAGGCUUUGGACAUGACACUGCACCUGCAUAGAGGGAUAGGAAUGGGUUGGGUUAAAGGGGAUUUUGUUUCUUUUUUCCUGUAAACCAGGUACCAGGAUUUUUCCUGUGGCCCAUAAUCAUAUGUGUUGAAAUGAAAUAAUCCUCUUCCUUUA
This is a long non-coding RNA of Macadamia integrifolia, 942 nucleotides long. RefSeq lists it as uncharacterized. The transcript has 2 exons. Lineage: Eukaryota; Viridiplantae; Streptophyta; Magnoliopsida; Proteales; Proteaceae. The record is from RefSeq and is a predicted model, not a curated record.